This 455-nucleotide long non-coding RNA is filed under the name Sorghum bicolor (sorghum). RNAcentral describes it as "long non-coding RNA (SBIC_LNC009847)". Lineage: Eukaryota; Viridiplantae; Streptophyta; Magnoliopsida; Poales; Poaceae. The record is from RNAcentral.
UUGUAAUAGAAGAUCACAGAUGUAACAGUGUUGAACCUUUCGAAUGUACACAGUAGAUACAACUGUUCAUUAGGAUAUCUUCAUAUGUAAUAGUAUUGAAACUUUGCUGUUUCAUUAGAGUAACUCAGAUGUAACAUUAGUACUGCCCAUUUGAAAUGAGUGCCCUUGCUUCGUUGAUGGCCUUUCUCAUUGGAACGAAACAAUGUAUAUACACCUCACGUACCAGAUCCAUCUUGGCGAUAGUCCAUGUUUCAUUUAUCUUGGUGUAAAUUUUCUUGAGAGUCCCAUCAUUACUGAAAGAAGCUGGAUCCACACUCAAGAAUGACUGUGCAGCACACACACAAAAAAAGGUUGGAAAAAUAAGAAAUGAAAAAAGCUAAAUAAAAGAUGAGUUCGAGGAAUUCAUUUAGAAAUAGAAAGUCACUGGUAUUGUAUCAUUACCGUGGCCAACUGGG